RNAcentral lists this ribosomal RNA (253 nucleotides) under uncultured bacterium. Its description in RNAcentral is "partial 16S ribosomal RNA". It matches the Rfam family "Bacterial small subunit ribosomal RNA", at positions 524 to 776 of the family's 1533-position model. The record is from RNAcentral.
UACGUAGGGUGCGAGCGUUAAUCGGAAUUACUGGGCGUAAAGUGUGCGCAGGCGGCCGCGCAAGUCGAGUGUGAAAGCCCCGGGCUUAACUUGGGAAUUGCGCUCGAAACUACGUGGCUGGAGUGUGGCAGAGGAAGGUGGAAUUCCAGGUGUAGCGGUGAAAUGCGCAGAUAUCAGGAGGAACACCGGUGGCGAAGGCGGGUCUCUGGGCAACAACUGACGCUGAGGAGCGAAAGCGUGGGGAGCGAACAGG